This 217-nucleotide long non-coding RNA is filed under the name Gallus gallus (chicken). The record is from RNAcentral. Lineage: Eukaryota; Metazoa; Chordata; Aves; Galliformes; Phasianidae.
CAGAAUUUUAAAAAGUCGUAUUAAAGAUGAGUUGGAGUGAAAGUGAUUUAUUCGUUUUGGAGCACUGCUAAGACCCACUUUGAGAAAGAAUGGAAAAAUACAAAGAGAAAGAAGCCUUCAAACACUUGUCCAGUCUUUUUAGGAAGAUGUCUACGUCUUGCUUUUUAAUUCCGAUGGCUGAUGCAGCAUUGAGGAAGUGGAAUAAUCCAAGCUAAUG